GACUGAGGGGGGCUGCUCCUAGUACGAGAGGACCGGAGUGGACGCAUCACUGGUGUUCGGGUUGUCAUGCCAAUGGCACUGCCCGGUAGCUAAAUGCGGAAAAGAUAAGUGCUGAAAGCAUCUAAGCACGAAACUUGCCCCGAGAUGAGUCUUCCCUGAGACCUUGAGUCUCCUGAAGGAACGUUAAAGACGAUGACGUUGAUAGGCCGGGUGUGUAAGCGCAGCGAUGCGUUGAGCUAACCGGUACUAAUGAACCGUGAGGCUUAACCUUACAACGCCGAAGCUGUU
RNAcentral lists this ribosomal RNA (288 nucleotides) under Salmonella enterica. RNAcentral describes it as "partial 23S ribosomal RNA". It matches the Rfam family "Bacterial large subunit ribosomal RNA", at positions 2660 to 2925 of the family's 2925-position model. Lineage: Bacteria; Pseudomonadati; Pseudomonadota; Gammaproteobacteria; Enterobacterales; Enterobacteriaceae. RNAcentral also lists the same sequence under 1 other name. The record is from RNAcentral.